CCUACGGGUGGCUGCAGUGGGGAAUAUUGCACAAUGGGCGCAAGCCUGAUGCAGCCAUGCCGCGUGUGUGAAGAAGGCCUUCGGGUUGUAAAGCACUUUCAGCGGGGAGGAAGGCGGUGAGGUUAAUAACCUCAUCGAUUGACGUUACCCGCAGAAGAAGCACCGGCUAACUCCGUGCCAGCAGCCGCGGUAAUACGGAGGGUGCAAGCGUUAAUCGGAAUUACUGGGCGUAAAGCGCACGCAGGCGGUCUGUCAAGUCGGAUGUGAAAUCCCCGGGCUCAACCUGGGAACUGCAUUCGAAACUGGCAGGCUAGAGUCUUGUAGAGGGGGGUAGAAUUCCAGGUGUAGCGGUGAAAUGCGUAGAGAUCUGGAGGAAUACCGGUGGCGAAGGCGGCCCCCUGGACAAAGACUGACGCUCAGGUGCGAAAGCGUGGGGAGCAAACAGGAUUAGAACCCCUAGUAGUC
Molecule: ribosomal RNA, 465 nt
Filed under: uncultured Klebsiella sp.
Lineage: Bacteria; Pseudomonadati; Pseudomonadota; Gammaproteobacteria; Enterobacterales; Enterobacteriaceae
Description: bacterial SSU rRNA
Rfam family: Bacterial small subunit ribosomal RNA
Source: RNAcentral